GCACCCGUAGCUCAGCUGGAUAGAGCGCUGCCCUCCGAAGGCAGAGGUCACUGGUUCGAAUCCAGUCGGGUGCACCA
This 77-nucleotide transfer RNA is filed under the name Paracoccus sp. (in: a-proteobacteria). Its description in RNAcentral is "tRNA-Arg". It matches the Rfam family "tRNA". Rfam says of the family: Transfer RNA (tRNA) molecules are approximately 80 nucleotides in length. RNAcentral also lists the same sequence under 36 other names. The record is from RNAcentral. Lineage: Bacteria; Pseudomonadati; Pseudomonadota; Alphaproteobacteria; Rhodobacterales; Paracoccaceae.